Molecule: ribosomal RNA, 301 nt
Filed under: uncultured bacterium
Lineage: Bacteria
Description: partial 16S ribosomal RNA
Rfam family: Bacterial small subunit ribosomal RNA
Source: RNAcentral
CAGCCGCCGCGGUAAUACGAAGGGUGCAAGCGUUAAUCGGAAUUACUGGGCGUAAAGCGUGCGUAGGCGGUUUGUUAAGUCUGCUGUGAAAUCCCCGGGCUCAACCUGGGAAUGGCAGUGGAUACUGGCAAGCUAGAGUGUGUCAGAGGAUGGUGGAAUUCCCGGUGUAGCGGUGAAAUGCGUAGAGAUCGGGAGGAACAUCAGUGGCGAAGGCGGCCAUCUGGGACAACACUGACGCUGAGGCACGAAAGCGUGUGGAGCAAACAGGAUUAGAUACCCCCGUAGUCCCUGUCUCUUAUAC